This is a long non-coding RNA of Olea europaea var. sylvestris, 1740 nucleotides long. RefSeq lists it as uncharacterized. The transcript is spliced from 4 exons. NCBI's taxonomy places the organism in Eukaryota, Viridiplantae, Streptophyta, Magnoliopsida, Lamiales, Oleaceae. The record is from RefSeq and is a predicted model, not a curated record.
UUAUUUAUAUUCUCGAAUUAAUUAAUUGGAUUAAUUAAUUCAUCGAUCGAGUUUAAUUAAACGGAUUAAUUGAAUAUUGGACCGAAUCGGGCCGAACCCGUUUGAGUUUAUAUAAAUACAUGGUUAGGGUUUGAGAUCCAUAAGGUUUUCAUUAUUCUUGCUGUCACAAGAGGAAAAACCCUAACAGUUGCAGUCUAUUCUCUGUGUGGAUUUCAUUAGAGGCUGGACAAUUGGAUAGUUGUAGGAAGUAGAUUCAAGUUGUUGGAAAGGAAUAACGCGAAUAAGUUUGCAAAAUCAAGAAAAUGUAUAUUUCUUAUCACAAUUUUUAUCUAAAUACAAGGCUGAAUCCUGAAUGUGAAUUGAAAUUUAUUUAAUUUCGCUGUGCAUAUUUAAGUAAAUUCCCUACAUGAAGGUGGUAGGAUUGUGGAUAUCAUGUGCUUUGUGUUGGCAUAUGGGCUUGGUCCUGUAUAUUGCUCUGUGAGAACAAGCCAUGCUUCAACAAAAGGGUAAAGGAAUCAAUAAGAAAACUGUUGAAAGAUAUGAUGGACUUUAGGGCUGAGGAACGUGAUAUUGAACCACCAAGAGUGGCUAUCUCUAAAUGGGAGUCAUCUAUGCAAGGAAAUGAUGUUGAACAAGAAAGAAGCCAUAGCCAUGUUCCAAUGAAGCAAGGCUACUGGAUUUGCUUCAUGUGCCAAUUCCUAAAUGUUUCUCGGAAUAUCAAGUGCUUAAGUUGUGAUGGCAUAUCUGAAUAAAGACAAAAAAUUAUUGGAAGAUCAGGAUCAUCUCCCACUGAAGAAAGGAGAGUGGAUAUAAAAUAAAUACAAUUUUUUGAAUUUUGCAAGAUACACGGGAUGCUUGCAGUGUAAAGAGAAACCUCCAAAGAGGCAACUUAAUCCUGGGGAGUGAGAAUGUGAAUCGCGUAAGUGUAACUACGUCAAUUUCAGAAGAAACAUGGUAUAUCUGAAAUGCAAUCCCAAAAGAUUGAUAGCAUCACAUGGUUCUGGCAAUUCCUCUCAACAUGGAAGUAGUGCUGUAAUAGCACUAGCCUCCUUUGGGCACGGGAAACAAAGAAGGAAUGGUGUAGAUUCAUGGAAAUUUGUAGAAAGUGAAAGUAAAGAUCAUACUGGUUCAAACUCAUGAAAUCAGGUGCCAGGAUUCACCGACUUUCCAGUCAUUGGUGGUAAGAGUGAUUUGUCCUGAAAUCUGCAAAGCAGGAUAGGCGGAAAAUGAAAAUGGCCAUCAAAAGCAGAAGUGUUUCCCAUGCAAGGGUAUUCAGCCCCUGAAUCUAUAUGUCUAAUCUGAAUGUUAAGGGUGCGGUUGGUUUAAUUUUCCAUUUUCCAUUUUCAGUUUCAAAAUGAUUUUUAGUUUUUCCCGAAAAUGGCACGUUUUGAGCGUUUUCCGUGUCUUGGGAAUUUAUAAUUGAAAACGCUCAAAAUGAUAAAAAGUCGUUUUGCAUUUUCAGUUAUAAAUUUUAGCUUGUUUUCGAAAACGACGGACCAAACGCGUUUUAUGCGUUCUCGAAAACGUAAAAUGGCCCGAAAACGCCAAACCAACCGCAACCUAAUUUUCUGGUAUACGUCAUAAAUAAAUUUGGUGAAAUAAUCGUAAACUUACCCGUUUCAUGCAUUUUAGUUCUUUUUUUAUGAUGUUCAUAGUAUAUCUUUUGGGGACUGAAAAUUGCUUGAUAAUCAACUCCAGAGCAUAUUAUGCCAUAUUAUAGGUUCAGAAAUUUUCCUUUUC